This 473-nucleotide ribosomal RNA is filed under the name uncultured organism. Its description in RNAcentral is "partial 16S ribosomal RNA". It matches the Rfam family "Bacterial small subunit ribosomal RNA", at positions 335 to 799 of the family's 1533-position model. The record is from RNAcentral.
ACUCCUACGGGAGGCAGCAGUGGGGAAUUUUGGACAAUGGGGGCAACCCUGAUCCAGCAAUGCCGCGUGAGUGAAGAAGGCCUUCGGGUUGUAAAGCUCUUUUGUCAGGGAAGAAACGGUGGUGGCGAAUAACUACUACUAAUGACGGUACCUGAAGAAUAAGCACCGGCUAACUACGUGCCAGCAGCCGCGGUAAUACGUAGGGUGCAAGCGUUAAUCGGAAUUACUGGGCGUAAAGCGUGCGCAGGCGGUUGUGUAAGUCAGAUGUGAAAUCCCCGGGCUCAACCUGGGAAUUGCAUUUGAGACUGCACGGCUAGAGUGUGUCAGAGGGGGGUAGAAUUCCACGUGUAGCAGUGAAAUGCGUAGAUAUGUGGAGGAAUACCGAUGGCGAAGGCAGCCCCCUGGGAUAACACUGACGCUCAUGCACGAAAGCGUGGGGAGCAAACAGGAUUAGAAACCCGAGUAGUCCCAUG